This is a small nuclear RNA of Solanum pennellii, 129 nucleotides long. NCBI's taxonomy places the organism in Eukaryota, Viridiplantae, Streptophyta, Magnoliopsida, Solanales, Solanaceae. The record is from RefSeq and is a predicted model, not a curated record.
GUACUUGUAAAAAGGCGAGCUAGUUUGCAUCUCCCUCUAAGAGGAUGUAAUCAACCUUUGGAAUUUACCUGUUACCACACAUAAAUUUAAGGCAUUCCAACUCAGUGGGACAUGCAAAGAAUGUGGUCU